UCACGGUUGCUGUUCGACCUCCGUCUGC
Molecule: small RNA, 28 nt
Filed under: Bombyx mori (domestic silkworm)
Lineage: Eukaryota; Metazoa; Arthropoda; Insecta; Lepidoptera; Bombycidae
Description: piRNA piR-bmo-1989452
Source: RNAcentral